UGCGAAGUGCAUAAGUAAAUAGGUUUCAAACACAUUCAUUCCAAGGUUUUAAAGGAUUGGUUAAUUGUUUUCAUUUUUUAAUUCGUUAAACAGUAAAUAAUCCCUGACCAGAGCUUGACUGUGAUUCCCAAUGCAAUGAAGAUGUGUGAAAAUGACCUAAUAACUCACUGUGGUUUUAACGUGUUUUGGUACGGAAACAUGAAAGCAGUGAAGUUGGGGAAGUUUGAAAAGCACAGAAAAGUUUAUUUAUUUAAGAAAAAAAAAAAAAAAGGAAAAAAAAAAACCAUAGCUAUGUACAAUUCCAUACAGCUCCUGCAUGCAGUCCUGGGAGCCCGCACGGGGUGGAUCACAGCGCGCUCGGGUUUGGUCACACACGGGGGCCGGGGUCGCGUUCUCACGUCUUGUGUCCAGCUUGUGUAAAUACCUGUGUGUUUAUUCUCCACCUUUGGCUGCUGGUAGCCCACUCGCACUACACACAAAUGAACUCAAGUAUUUUUUUUAGCUGUUUGUGCUGAGUUUCUUUGAGGCCAAUGGUGGCUGCACCUCGGCAGAGUCUCGGUCAGUCUCCCCCCGUGUCCUGCCACCGAAAAUGAAGCACAUUCCAGUCACCACGAGAAGGGAAGUAAGUACCUGUCCUCUCGUUGAGGAAUUGUCACCACACCCAGUGUCUCUUAGUGGUUAUUUCCAAUAUAUAGUCAUCGGUGUGGCUGCUGAAUAUUCCUCACCCUGAGCAUGUAAAUACUUGUAUUUCUUACUCCAGUCCUGAGUGAAUCUAGUGACAAAGAGCCAGAGAGCUCUGCAGCCCCUACCGUUAAGACAGGAGCCAGCUGUUAUUUGCAGGUGUGCACGCUACUGCCAGCUUCACCCUGCCAAACCCUGUCAAGUUAGUGGUCCACACACCCUCCCACUGCACUCCUUCACUCGUGCAGCUGUGCAGCAACUUAAUGAUGCACGAUGGGGCAAGUUGAUGAAGAACCAUAAAUGUAAGUGUUUAACUUUUCUUUUUUUUAUUAUUUCCUCUCCCCUGGCCAGGUAAAUAUGUUUAAUUUUAGCCCCCAGUUUUCAGGAAGCAGGCAAAGGACAAACUUUGUGUUUCGACGCAAACCAUCUGAGAUUUCUUUGAGUGUGAUUUGCAAUUCAGGGAUCUUUAACACUUCUCUUUGCUUGUGUCUGUCCCUGAGCUGACAGGGUAAUUUCUUUUUCUGACUGAAGCUUGUGGAAUCUUGCUUAUACACCCCUCUGUGGAUGGGGCUUAGUGCCGAUUGCUGUAAUCCCAGGUGUGCAUCGUGUGUAUAAACCAUCACUGGCUUGAGCCUACCAAUGGUUGAGGGUAUCUUUGGUGACAAGAGCCAUCUCAAAACUAAAAAUGGUGUUAUAGGCAAGAGAAGAAGGGAUGCUCUUGCAGCUUAAGGCUUCAGCUGCUUUAGCAACUACUGCUGGGCUGCCAGUGCUGAACUUCCCUUCUUAGAGGGAAGCAUACAGUCAUCAGAUUUCUUCUGUAACACUGAGGGAGGAGGUGUAUGAACUGGGAACAUGUGUGUUGUUUGUGUGUCACCUCUGCUUUGUUCUUCACUCCUUUCAGGGGUUUGAAACAGAAGUUUUCCUAAAGAGAGAAAUUAAGCAGCGUGUUACUUCUCACAGGUCUUGCUCUUUCCAGUCUCUGUGCUUGACUAAUUUUUGUCCCUCCUUGUGCCCUCUGCUCUUCCCAUGCUUGGUGGCUGCUGACCAAGAGUGUAAGGGGCUCAGAUUAACUGCUUGAGAUCCUCAUUGCUCUGCCUGUUGAACUCUCUGUUUACUGCAGCCUUUUGACUCCAUAAGCUUGGAGAGGGACCUACCACCUCCACUUUGUGCAAGGGCCCAGGACCUGUCAUCUGAAGUCCGUGCUUGCUGUGAAGGCUCCCAGAUGCCUCAGGCCAGUGUGACACUGUUGCAAACAGGAGGGAAUAGUGGCAGGUGGUUGAAAGUCAGGUCCUUUUUCUACUGUGUGUGGUGUGUGUCAUUGUCGAGCCACAGACUUAGGGAUGAGAUACAGGCACUGCUGCUACUCCCGUUGCGUCAGUGAGAGCUGGGUUGUUGGGUUCAGUGACAGCAGGAAGGUGGCUCCAUAAGCAGGUGUUGGUAAUACCAGUGGUGUCCCUGGUGGAGUGGGUGGAAGGGACCUCCCCAUUGUUCUUGGUCUCCAUCAUGCAGAGCUCUCCAGGUCAAUGUAGUGACCAUGCAGGUCUCCUACACCCACCUCUGCUGAGGGUCUUGACCUUAAGGUGCACAAAGGCCAUUGCUCUCUCGCGCUGUUUGUGUUCGUGUUGAGCGACGCUGCUAAACCCGUCUGUAGCACAGGGGAAGAAGCCCCUCAGCUCCUCAGCCCACAGGCGGUGGGGGAGCUGCCGUGGGGGGGUGCAGGGGCCGUGUCCCCCGGUGAGGAGCACAGCUCCUUGGGCAGAGCCCGGGGCCCCUGCCCACCCCGGGACCUCCCCAUGUUCUCGGCUGCGGCACCGGGGCUGGAAGAUCUGCAAAAGGAUUCCACAGCCCUGGGCUGGAUGGGGACGUAACCAGUGCUCAGCCCAGCUUAGGCCCAAGCAGCCAGUUUACACCUACGCUGGUGCCUGCUACAAUUUUAAUUUUUUUUUUUCUUCAGGGUAUCCAGAUAAAAGUAAACAGAGGAGGAGCCUACAUUUUCAUUGUUUAUCAGAAAUGUAUCUCAUUUUGCUGUACAUUCCUUUUUUAGGACGUGUUAUCUGUUUAAAAAAAAAAAAAAGACAAAUUAAAAAAGAAAAAACAGAAAAAAAGAAAAAGAUAAAAACAAAUGUGUAGUGAAAAAUCUUCUGUAACUUUGGAUUAAGAGGUAACUGAUCUUUUUAAAGAGAGAACUAAGUUAUUUACUUUGUAAAUGUGCUGAUGGCAUGGAUCCAUCUGACUGACCUCAGCAUCUUUUUUUUUUUAAGAUUUUGGGUUUCGUUUCCAAUAUUAAGUUAUUUUAAAUUGUGGUUGAAGCAAUAGAAAAAUUGAAAUAUGGAUUGUGCAUGACUGUGUCUUGAGUGUAAAAAUAUUGCAGUUUGAAACUUGGACCUAAAGUAUUGCAAAUAAAAGUUAUAAAUACCAACGGA
Molecule: long non-coding RNA, 3104 nt
Organism: Calidris pugnax (ruff)
Lineage: Eukaryota; Metazoa; Chordata; Aves; Charadriiformes; Scolopacidae
Exons: 2
Source: RefSeq, a predicted model, not a curated record